Molecule: non-coding RNA, 991 nt
Filed under: Pongo abelii (Sumatran orangutan)
Lineage: Eukaryota; Metazoa; Chordata; Mammalia; Primates; Hominidae
Source: RNAcentral
CGGAGGCUGGGCGCAUGAGGGCUGGGCCUGCGGGCCGCGGGACAGGGAGGGCGCGGGGCCGGGCUGCCGGGUCCGAGCUCUGGGCACGAUGUCCUCCCUGACGCCGCCAGGACAGCGCCUGGCCCAGGCCUGGGCCUGGUGAACGCGGGUUUCUUCCUCUGAGGUUCAUCACUCCGCGCUUGGGUUGGCUCCCUUCUUUCAUUCUGAUUGGUUUAUUCGCCACCUGCCAAGCACUGAAGAGGGCGUGCAGGAUGGCUGCUUUUGGAGCAAAAAUAGCCCUGGUUCUUUCCUGAGGAGGGAUCGCACUUUCUAGAGGGGCGGUUCUCAAAGUAUGGUCUCAGGACUAGCAGCAUCAAAAAUGCUAGGAACUCAUUAGAAAAGCAAGUUUUCAAUCCUCGCCCCAGAAUCAGAAACUCGGGGUGGAGCCCAGCAAUGUGUGUCCUGACAAGUCCACGCGCGACCCCAGUGCUGGCUAGGGUUGCAAAGCCACUGCUCUACGGAGCAAGCGAGAUCCAUCAUAGUGGGACAAGCAAGAAGAUGAGGCCAUGCAGACCAGGGAGAGAGGCUCCUUACACUGACAUUCAAAGUCCUCCAUGACCCAGCCCCAGCCUACUUCUGCAGCCUUAUCUCCCUACGAACCAUCAAAGCAGAACAAAAAGCUGUGCCUCCGAUUUAGGUUUCAGCAAACCACAAGAAGCACUUCAUAAACUGGUGACUCAAGUAGAAAAGUACUGUUCCACGCACUUGACACCAAUCCCCCCAUUUCACCUGCAUGAUCACCCUGCCUUUGCAUGAGUUGCCGGUGUGGACAGAGCAGGGACACAGUGAGGCAGCGGAUUCCGGCUGUGCUCUUCCCUGGAACACACUGCCUCUCACCAGGAAUCAUCCUUCCAUUUUAUGCAGUUAUCCCAGACAGUGAUGCACGAGCUUUGGGGAAAAAACCCCACAAGUCCAAAGGUGUACUUCAUAAUAAAGGCAAGUUCUCUAGUCA